CCUCCCACCCUGGCGAUUCACUGUGACAAGUUCGAAACACAUGGACUUUCAGCUACAACUUGAAAGGGCCUGAAACACCAUUCGGGGGCGAGAAGAGAGCCAAACUAACCAGUCGGUCUCAUCCGGUUCCAGGCGGGUGCAGGACGAGGAAAUAGAGGCGUUCAGUCUCCUCGCUGCAGCCCGGCGCCUCCUUCCUUCUUCGUAAUGUCUCUGGGAACGCACAGUUACAUCAUUCAUUUAUGUAAUAACAAAGUGAUGAACACCGUCAUUGUUAGAGGCGGAGAAAAUCUAUUUAUUAAAUAAAUAUGUAUGAGUUAAAAGAACUUUGCCUUGAAAGUUACAAGAGGAAAAUAUGUUUGGGCCCCGCAGGACGAACCGCGUCCAAACCAGGUGUUUUAGCGACUGUUGGACCAACGUCCGGUCCGUGAUUCUGGUCCCGUGGGAGAGACGUGUGUCGAUGCAGAGCCUUGGAGGGAGGAGGCUGGCUUCCUGUUUCCUCCAGCCAGUCAGGUUUCUUUAAAACCACGUCCAUGAUUGUUCCCUAACCAAACAACCGAAUAUUACUUCAACCGUGACGGAGCACGACCCCCGACCCUCACAAAGUACUUACCUGUCUCAGCCAUUCAUUCUCACGCUGUGUGCCUUAUUCCAGUUGUGAAAACAUCUUUUUUUUUAUUUUGUAAUUAUUUCAUAUACUUUGUGUUCAUACUGAUAUGUCAAUUCAAUUGAGAAAUCACAAAAAAAGGGGUUCGUUUUUCAGCAGAAUCCAGCAGAACAGAGAAAGAAAAAAAUCAGGUAUGUUUAUUUGGGUAAAAUUUACAUUCAGGAACCCUGUGCACAUCCCUUUAUGGGGACAUUUAAAAAAGGGCAGAAAUGUUGAGGAGGGGAAGUCAAGAUCAAAGUUUAAAGGUGAGGCUUUGUUUACUGAGGUAUUCAAAUGAUGGGCUGUCAGACCAGAGCGCUUUGAAUGACUUACAUGGUCACCUGUGUAGAUGUUUGGUGACAAUAAAGACACAAAUAUGACUAGAGAGAUUUAGGACUGGGAGAUCAGAGAGGCACCUGUGUUGAUCUUUUUAACUUGAAAUGAUUCAUACUAAUAUUAAAUAUUUUUAUUAGCUAGAUCAAGAAACUAUUUGAAUAUUGAGAUAUUUCAGUCCUAAAACA
Molecule: long non-coding RNA, 1164 nt
Organism: Gasterosteus aculeatus aculeatus (three-spined stickleback)
Lineage: Eukaryota; Metazoa; Chordata; Actinopteri; Perciformes; Gasterosteidae
Source: Ensembl